Molecule: ribosomal RNA, 433 nt
Filed under: uncultured bacterium
Lineage: Bacteria
Description: partial 16S ribosomal RNA
Rfam family: Bacterial small subunit ribosomal RNA
Source: RNAcentral
AACGAACGCUGGCGGCAUGCCUAACACAUGCAAGUCGAACGAGACCUUCGGGUCUAGUGGCGCACGGGUGCGUAACGCGUGGGAACCUGCCCUUAGGUUCGGAAUAACUCCCCGAAAGGGGUGCUAAUACCGGAUAAUGUCUUCGGACCAAAGAUUUAUCGCCUUUGGAUGGGCCCGCGUUGGAUUAGCUAGUUGGUAUGGUAAAAGCCUACCAAGGCGACGAUCCAUAGCUGGUCUGAGAGGAUGAUCAGCCACACUGGGACUGAGACACGGCCCAGACUCCUACGGGAGGCAGCAGUGGGGAAUAUUGGACAAUGGGCGAAAGGCUGAUCCAGCAAUGCCGCGUGAGUGAUGAAGGCCUUAGGGUUGUAAAGCUCUUUUACCCGGGAUGAUAAUGACAGUACCGGGAGAAUAAGCUCCGGCUAACUCCGUG